UUUUAAAGGAUACAAGU
This 17-nucleotide transfer RNA is filed under the name Anomalopus verreauxii (Three-clawed worm-skink). RNAcentral's name for it is "partial tRNA-Leu". Lineage: Eukaryota; Metazoa; Chordata; Lepidosauria; Squamata; Scincidae. The record is from RNAcentral.